UGCUCCUUAAGCAGGUAGGUAAACAAUUCAAAAGAGCUUCAGGAAGUACCUGAAACUGACCAGAUUCACUAGACCCCUUCCUGCCAGAGUAAGCAAUAAAAGCUGAGAGUCUCACAGAAGAUCAGAAGCAAGCAGAAGACUCUCACAAGGUGGGCUGAAAACUCUCCACAACCUUGAGCCAAAAUGAAUCUUUCCUCCUUUAAAUCGUGAUGAGAAACGUCUGAUUUUACUCUUGUUAAAAUAAAUUCCUUCUACUUCAGUGCAGUUAAAUGAAGAUCAAGAGAAGAAGUCUCAGAGGAAGGAUUUUCCAACAUGGUGGAAAUGAUGUGAGAAUCAGUGGUGUCCAAUCUUGAAGGUAUCUGAAGCUUUUCAAGGUUAAGGAGUUUGAAUUGACUUCCUCAACAUGAGCAACUGUCAAUAUGGCAGCAAUGGCCAGAGGGAGAAAGAGAAGAAAGAGAAGGAAGAAGAGCAAGAGUAGAAACAAAGAGACUUACUCAUGGACUUGUGCUUCCUCGAUGCCCCAUUUCUUUUUUUUUUUUAAUUUUACAAUACUAUUCAGUUCUACAUAAUAGCCACAGAUUCCCUUGUUCUCUCCCUUCCUGCCCCCCUCCCCUUCCCCCCAGCCCAUCCCCCAUUCCCACCUCCUCCAGAUAAUGUGUAAACUGUGUUAUCACUGAAAAUUGCUCCACAUGUUUACAAGAUACCACAUCCUAGCAAAACUAUAAUAUGUGAUGAAGUUUUUGCAUUCAAAAUGUACUUUUCAUCCACAAUGUUCCC
Long non-coding RNA from Peromyscus maniculatus bairdii (prairie deer mouse), 777 nucleotides. RefSeq lists it as uncharacterized. The record is from RefSeq and is a predicted model, not a curated record. Lineage: Eukaryota; Metazoa; Chordata; Mammalia; Rodentia; Cricetidae.